GAGUUUGAUCAUGGCUCAGAGCGAACGCUGGCGGCAGGCUUAACACAUGCAAGUCGAGCGCGUGUAGCAAUACACGAGCGGCAGACGGGAGAGUAACACGUGGGAACGCGCCCUUCGGUUCGGAAUAACUCAGGGAAACUUGAGCUAAUACCGGAUACGCCCUUACGGGGAAAGAUUUAUUGCCGAAGGAACGGCCCGCGUCCGAUUAGCUAGUUGGUGAGGUAACGGCUCACCAAGGCGACGAUCGGUAGCUGGUCUGAGAGGAUGACCAGCCUCACUGGGACUGAGACACGGCCCAGACUCCUACGGGAGGCAGCAGUGGGGAAUAUUGGACAAUGGGCGCAAGCCUGAUCCAGCCAUGCCGCGUGGAUGAUGAAGGCCCUAGGGUUGUAAAGUCCUUUUAACGGGGAAGAUAAUGACGGUACCCGUAGAAUAAGCCCCGGCUAACUUCGUGCCAGCAGCCGCGGUAAU
RNAcentral lists this ribosomal RNA (471 nucleotides) under uncultured bacterium. RNAcentral's name for it is "bacterial SSU rRNA". It matches the Rfam family "Bacterial small subunit ribosomal RNA", at positions 9 to 524 of the family's 1533-position model. The record is from RNAcentral.